AUGGGCCCGCGGCGCAUUAGCUAGUUGGUGAGGUAACGGUUCACCAAAGCGACGAUGCGUAGCCGACCUGAGAGGGUGAUCGUCCACACUGGGACUGAGACAAGGAGCCGACUCCUACGGGAGGCAGCAGUAGGGAAUCUUUCACAAUGGGCGAAAGCCUGAUGGAGCAACGCCGCGUGAGUGAAGAAGGAUUUCGGUUCGUAAAACUCUGUUGUAAGGGAAGAACAAGUACAGUAGUAACUGGCUGUACCUUGACGGUACCUUAUUAGAAAGCCACGGCUAACUACGUGCCAGCAGCCGCGGUAAUACGUAGGUGGCAAGCGUUGUCCGGAAUUAUUGGGCGUAAAGCGCGCGCAGGUGGUUUCUUAAGUCUGAUGUGAAAGCCCACGGCUCAACCGUGGAGGGUCAUUGGAAACUGGGAGACUUGAGUGCAGAAGAGGAUAGUGGAAUUCCAAGUGUAGCGGUGAAAUGCGUAGAGAUUUGGAGGAACACCAGUGGCGAAGGCGACUAUCUGGUCUGUAACUGACACUGAGGCGCGAAAGCGUGGGGAGCAAACAGGAUUAGAUACCCUGGUAGUCCACGCCGUAAACGAUGAGUGCUAAGUGUUAGGGGGUUUCCGCCCCUUAGUGCUGCAGCUAACGCAUUAAGCACUCCGCCUGGGGAGUACGGUCGCAAGACUGAAACUCAAAGGAAUUGACGGGGGCCCGCACAAGCGGUGGAGCAUGUGGUUUAAUUCGAAGCAACGCGAAGAACCUUACCAGGUCUUGACCUCCCGUUGACCACUGUAGAGAUAUGGUUUCCCCUUCGGGGGCAACGGUGACAGGUGGUGCAUGGUUGUCGUCAGCUCGUGUCGUGGGGUGUUGGGUUAAGUCCCGCAACGAGCGCAACCCUUGAUCUUAGUUGCCAUCAUUUAGUUGGGCACUCUAAGGUGACUGCCGGUGACAAACCGGAGGAAGGUGGGGAUGACGUCAAAUCAUCAUGCCCCUUAUGACCUGGGCUACACACGUGCUACAAUGGACGAUACAAACGGUUGCCAACUCGCGAGAGGGAGCUAAUCCGAUAAAGUCGUUCUCAGUUCGGAUUGUAGGCUGCAACUCGCCUACAUGAAGCCG
RNAcentral lists this ribosomal RNA (1112 nucleotides) under Lysinibacillus fusiformis. RNAcentral's name for it is "bacterial SSU rRNA". It matches the Rfam family "Bacterial small subunit ribosomal RNA", at positions 225 to 1328 of the family's 1533-position model. Lineage: Bacteria; Bacillati; Bacillota; Bacilli; Caryophanales; Bacillaceae. The record is from RNAcentral.